This 497-nucleotide ribosomal RNA is filed under the name uncultured bacterium. Its description in RNAcentral is "partial 16S ribosomal RNA". It matches the Rfam family "Bacterial small subunit ribosomal RNA", at positions 28 to 507 of the family's 1533-position model. The record is from RNAcentral.
GACGAACGCUGGCGGCGUGCCUAAUACAUGCAAGUUGAGCGCUGAAGGUUGGUACUUGUACCAACUGGAUGAGCUGCGAACGGGUGAGUAACGCGUGGGGAAUCUGCCUUUGAGCGGGGGACAACAUUUGGAAACGAAUGCUAAUACCGCAUAAAAACUUUAAACACAAGUUCUAAGUUUGAAAGAUGCAAUUGCAUCACUCAAAGAUGAUCCCGCGUUGUAUUAGCUAGUUGGUGAGGUAAAGGCUCACCAAGGCGAUGAUACAUAGCCGACCUGAGAGGGUGAUCGGCCACAUUGGGACUGAGACACGGCCCAAACUCCUACGGGAGGCAGCAGUAGGGAAUCUUCGGCAAUGGACGAAAGUCUGACCGAGCAACGCCGCGUGAGUGAAGAAGGUUUUCGGAUCGUAAAACUCUGUUGGUAGAGAAGAACGUUGGUGAGAGUGGAAAGCUCAUCAAGUGACGGUAACUACCCAGAAAGGGACGGCUAACUACGUG